CCUUCUACCUUGAUGGUAGUUGGGAAAGUUUUUCGCUAAGGGAUCGGCCUAUGUUGUAUCAGGUAGUUGGUGAGGUAAUGGCUCACCAAGCCUAUGACACAUAGCGGGUCUGAGAGGAUGAUCCGCCACACUGGUACUGAGACACGGACCAGACUCCUACGGGAGGCAGCAGUGGGGAAUAUUGCACAAUGGACGAAAGUCUGAUGCAGCAACGCCGCGUGGAGGAUGACACAUUUCGGUGCGUAAACUCCUUUUAUAUAAGAAGAUAAUGACGGUAUUAUAUGAAUAAGCACCGGCUAACUCCGUGCCAGCAGCCGCGGUAAUACGGAGGGUGCAAGCGUUAUUCGGAAUCACUGGGCGUAAAGGGUGCGUAGGCGGUUUGGAAAGUCAGAUGUGAAAGCCUACAGCUUAACUGUAGAACUGCAUUUGAAACUUCCAGACUAGAAUACUGAAGGGGCAGAUGGAAUUAGUGGUGUAGGGGUAAAAUCCGUAGAUAUCACUAGGAAUACCGAAAGCGAAAGCGAUCUGCUGGGAAGUUAUUGACGCUGAGGCACGAAAGCGUGGGGAGCAAACGGGAUUAGAUACCCCGGUAGUCCACGCCCUAAACGAUGAAUGCUAGUCGUCGGAAAGCUCGUCUUUUCGGUGAUGCAGUUAACACAUUAAGCAUUCCGCCUGGGGGAGUACGGUCGCAAGAUUAAAACUCAAAGGAAUAGACGGGGACCCGCACAAGUGGUGGA
RNAcentral lists this ribosomal RNA (737 nucleotides) under uncultured bacterium. Its description in RNAcentral is "bacterial SSU rRNA". It matches the Rfam family "Bacterial small subunit ribosomal RNA", at positions 173 to 936 of the family's 1533-position model. The record is from RNAcentral.